GGGAGUUACCAUAUAGACCUUCGAGCGGUAACGGCCUCCGAUUAGGAAUUAGGGUUUGCUUUCGUCGUCGUCCUCCUCUUCUACCGCACGAUCGAAUCCCCCAUUCCCCAUCUCAUCCCCGAGGGUUUCCCAACAAUCCGAAAUUUCUUAUCAAUGGCGGGCGAAUCGGAUCCCUACCUCUCCCACUUCUCGGCUCCGGAGGUGCUCAAAUCUGGUGGAGUUCAUCCCCAACAUCAGAACGGAGUCCCUCCACAUGAUUCAUGUAAUUUGAGCUCUUUCUUGAUCUCUUUAUGCCUCUAAUUCUAUGGAUUGAUGGCGAUUUUGGUGUUAUGCGCCUGCCAAGAGGAUGUCGGCCUUUCUUUCCGCAAAUCGCGAGCGAUGGCUCUGAAGAAACGUGAAAAAUGCACCAUCCGUUCUCCCGAAUCGAUGUCGGUUGCUUUCCAUUGCAGGGAACAGUUCUGCCUUCCCUUCAUGUAGGACUCGUGUGAUCCACCGGUCUUCUUCCUCUCCCCUUGUAGCCCACCUCCGUCAUCUCUAUGCACAGGGCUGUGACGACGAUUGCUGCAAGAAAAGCAACGCCCUCGUGCUUCAGAGAGACCGGAACCUUGUGAUCUAUGGCCCAGCGCUUUGGGCCACCGGCACGAGAGUUCUGGUCUCUGCGGGUGUGGUGGUGACACAGAAGUCAACCAGUGCCGUCGGAAAGCCUAAGAACAAGAGCAUCUCCAUUCAUGGCAAAUGAAUCAAUUAGACCGAACAACGACAAAGGCUAGCUAUGUGUAUAUGAAGCGCUAUGCUCAGUGCAACUGUAACAGAAGUGAUAUCUUGGUAUCGUCGAACCCGAGGCAGCAGUAAAGAGACACCUCCUGCUGCUCAUUCUACAGUAACAUCGCAUGCGACGAAUUCAGAAGUACGCUUCAGUGAUAAAUAACGAUGAACAGUAGCAACAGCAUUUGCAAAAAGCUCGGAGGAGGCAGACCACCAACGGGCAUCGGCGUCGCCUCUCGUGUCGCAGACCUUCGUCGGUCUUAUCCUUGGAUCUUUCGUUUCUCUUGUUGUAAGUAGCACUUCGAUUCUUUCGUCCGUCUGUUGCUCGACGAAAUGCCAGCAAGACCUUGUUCGCCUUUGCGGACUUCACCACCCGUGUAUCCUCCCACAGCCCACGAGACGACCUCAAGUAGCAAGCUGGGACAAUUUGAGUCGAUUUUUCAGUUCUUUCGUUAUGGGACUUGCGCAAUGGAGCUCCACCUCUCUGCUCCCUCCGUUGUCCCGUCUCAGUUCCUCUUUCUACGUUCCUCUUUCUCCUCUCCAUGCAGCUUGGGCUAUGAUGGCGACGAUUCUCUUGGGCAGAUGCUGGAGGCGCUUCCUUGGUCUUUCCACGUCCGCUCUCUCUUUUUACGUCUUCAGUAUACUGUACCUGUGGGAAUCUGUAUCACCAUGAUUCAACAAGGUAGCCAUGCUUCCAGGUGCUGUGUGUGUCUGUUAGUUGCAUGCUUGUGACUUGUCUUUGGUUGCAGCCACUCCUUCAAUGCUGAAUGCCGUCCUCAAUACUGAGUGAGCAUUGCUUCUAUAUGGUCUUUUAUAGGUGAGAAAUCUGUUUCUAGGUGCUAUGUGCCUCUGUUAGUUGCACACUUGUGACUUGUCUUUUAUUGUAGCCGAUCCGUUAGUACUGGAUGUCAUCCUCAAUCAGUGAGCAUUGCUUCUAUAUGUUCUUUUGCA
Molecule: long non-coding RNA, 1716 nt
Organism: Musa acuminata AAA Group (dessert banana)
Lineage: Eukaryota; Viridiplantae; Streptophyta; Magnoliopsida; Zingiberales; Musaceae
Exons: 2
Source: RefSeq, a predicted model, not a curated record